CGUCGCUGGCUCACGUGUGCGCGGCGGACAGAGGGCGUGGCCUGCGCUCGACGGCGACACUGACGCGGUGUUCUCCUGCGUGUCGGUGCUGGUCGGUGCUCGUCGGUGGGUGUCCGGUGCAGCAGCAGCAGCAGCAGCAGCAGCAGCAUCAUGGCCGCGGAGGAGCAGGACGACGCCGCGCUGCUGGUUCUCAUCUAUCAGCACCUGAAGGUGAACGGCUUCCAGAGAGCCGCCAAGGGGCUGGAGAAGCACGUGGCCCGGGUGGAAACGCCAGAGGAGAGCUCCAACCUACAUGAUAUCUACACGGGCUGGAUGAAACUUUGCUCCCUCGCUCAACAUGCCAAGCAGGAGGCCGAAGACUCAGCCACGUUAAAGAAGCGGAGCAUCAAGGCGGAGCCUGCCACCAGCGAAGAAGAAGAGGCGGCGAACGGCAAACUCGCCGCCGCCGCAGGAGAGGAAGAAGAAGCGGAUGCAAAGCCUCCAGCUGGGUCCCGGGCAGAUGCCGUGGACUCGUCCGCUGCAGAUCUGAGCCGUGGGGGGAAACACGCCGACGCCGUCUCGGAGCGGCGGCCGGAAGCCGCAGGUGAAACGGGAUCAACGAACCCGGAGGCCGAGAGACCUGACGACGACGAAGAGGACGAAGAGGAGGAGGAAACCAAAUCCGAACAGGAGUCGGCUCCUGUCGAAGCGUCUGCCGAGGCCACUAACGGCUCCUGUGACUGCGAGGAAGCAGCUGAGGACGGGAGCAGCACUGAGCACGUGGAGCUCGACGAUGAGCCCAAACAGGAGACAGACGCCGCCGCGGACGCAGCCGCGGACGCCGCCGCGGACACCACCGCGGACGCCGCCGCAGACGUAACCCCUGCGUCAGAGCAGGCGGCUGUCGGUCAAACGGAGGCCACGCCCCCCAGCACUCAGGAGGUCGAGGAUGAGGAGGUGGACGCUGCAGAGACGUCCGCCCAGGCCGAGCCCCCGGCGGCCGAGCAGACCAAUGACCAGCCAGCGGAGAGCGAGGCCCCGCCCCCUGCAGACGCUGAAAAUCCAAAAGAAGAAGACGAUGAGGUAGUGGAGGAAGAGGAGGAAGAGGAGAAGCCCAAGGACCUCACAUCCCCACUGACGUCUGACGACCAGGCGGAGACGCCAGCGGCCUCGGGUGACGGAGGCGCCGCCGGCGGCCUUCCCCCCGCUGACACUGAAGAGCCGACGGCGGAGGAGGAGCGAACAGACCCGGACGACUCCAUCACGCUCAACAUUCAGGUCGAAGUCGACGACGGGACGGAGGCGGAGUCCGGCAAAGAGGCGACAACUCCCAAGAAAAAGAAGAAGAAGAGCAAGAAGGAAACGAAAACCGAUGCCGCGGAAACGCCGAGCACAGACGCGUCCGCCUCGGACACGCUCAGUGACACUCCUCUCGCCCCCAAGUCCGCCAAGAAGAAGAAGCGAGACAAAAAGAGAAAGGAGGAGGAUCAGACGGUGGAGGAGGAGGAGAAGCUGGAGGAAGAGGAGGAGGAGGAGGAGGAGCCAGUGGUGGUGGUCGUGUCUCAGGUCACCCCAUCAGAGAAGAAGGCGAAGAAAAGGAAACUGGAGCGAGACGAAGCGGAGGAAGAGAAAGAGGAGGAAACUCCUGUCGUGCCUUUGGAAAACAAAAUUAAGAAGAAGAAGAAGAAGAAGGUAAAAGAAGUGGAGGAGGUGGAGGAGGAAGAGGAGGAGGAGGAGGAGAAGGUGGAGGAUCCUGUUAGUCCGGCAGAGAAAAAGAAGAAGAAGAAAAAGAGGAAAAAGGAGGGAGGACAGGGCAAGGAGGUGCAGUCUGAUGAAAUACCAGCAGGGGGCGACAAAGACGCAGAAAUCAAACAGGAGGCAACAGACGGGAACUCUUCCCAGCUCCCCUCUGCGAAGAAGAAACGUCUCCGGAAGAAACUCAGCCUGAAGAAGAGGCUGAGGCUGCACAAGACGGAGGAGAGGAUGAGGAAUAGGACGAUGAUGAAGAAGAAGAAGAAGAAGAGCGCCGCCGCCGCAGGACCGACUGACACCGCGGACAGGAAGAAGCGGACCGAGGAGGAGGCGGCGGCGGCGGCGGCGGAGGAGACGCCUCGGCCGAAACCCACCAAAAGACCCAAAUCCGAUCCCGCCCAGGACGACGACGACAAUGACGACCACACGCCAAAGAAGAAACGGAUCAAUGAACAAGAGGAGAAUCCCUCAAAGGAAAACCAACCUCCGAAGAAGAAGAAGAAGAAGAAGGGGUCGGCGACGGAGGAAGAGGAAAGGGGCGCGGUGGCGCCCGAGCCUCUGGAGGGGGUGUCGUCUCCGCGCUGCGGCGAGGGGACGAAGAAGAAGAAAGGGAAGAAGACGAAGGCGGUUGAAGGGACGACAGGGAACUCCCCUCCCGUCUCGGCCAACCACGACGGACCUGCGAAGAAAAAGAAGAAGAACAGACUAACGGAGAAACUAGAAAAGACAGAAUUCACGGCGACUGCUGCUUCCACGAAAAAGAAAUCCUCCAAAAAGAAAAUCACCUCUGAUUAAAUCUGGUCAAGACAUGAUGAAAGACUCACACGACGACAGCCCCAGAAGUUGAAUAAAAAUGAAUUCUCUCAGUGUCAGUGGAGGGAGGGAGGAGGACGAUGACGAUCGCAUCUUGGACCUGAAAAGCGACACGACAAUCUGCGUAAUGAUGGUGCCUUCACUCCUGAUCGUCCGUGCGAGGUGAAAGGACUCGGCUCUCGGAAAACAUCAGGUUUAACUUUUAACUGUGAAAAACGGGACUAACUCGCGCGCACCUUAGAACCGUGUCGAAUAAGGUUAACAAGGAUUGAGAUAUGAAAUGCUACCGUUUUUGGAGGAUGUUUCAUUUAAUCGCCAUGUCGUUUUUGAAGUGCCGCAAAUUCUACUUACUUUCUGACUGUGAAAAGUCUUCCUCGCUCUCUUUGUGAUAUUAGCCAUAACGACGACCGAUGAGCUUUAGACGUUUCAUGCUCCACGAUUGUGAUCAGUAGAUCUUUAGAGGUUUUUACAGUUUUGAGCUGUCUGGUGGAAAAGUUAGUUAGUUUCAUUGUUACACUAAACUUGUGUUUUGACUGUUUGUUUGUCUUCUUCUCUCUGUCAGUUUAAAAAAGCUGUGACUUUGUUUACAAUGUUCCGUUUUCGCCAUCUUCUUUCUCGGUAAACUCACGUACUGUUAACUAUGCACCUGAUUAAAUGCUGUUAGUUGAAGAGUGAUUAAUAUUCACAUGUUUGCCUGUGGCUUCUGUCUGGGCACUACGAAAUAAAGCAAACAUGUCAACCAAAACCAAAAAUGA
This is an RNA transcript of Scophthalmus maximus (turbot), 3299 nucleotides long. It is a transcript of the gene named ABC transporter F family member 4-like, with no coding region annotated. The transcript is spliced from 16 exons. The record is from RefSeq and is a predicted model, not a curated record. NCBI's taxonomy places the organism in Eukaryota, Metazoa, Chordata, Actinopteri, Pleuronectiformes, Scophthalmidae.